UGUGAUAUUUUAUAUAUCUCUGUAAUAAAUAGAUUUAUGAAAAUGUGUUAAACUCUAAUUAUAUGUUUGUUUUGGUGAAAUUGAGAACUCUUAAAAAAUAGAGAUCAGUUUGAUUUCUGAAAGUACAAUAUAUCGUUUCUCAUUAAUUGGUUGAGGAUGUACAAAUAUGUUACGUAACUAGUAUAGUAAGCUUGUAAUUAGAUUCGUUUAAUGUUGAUUCUAAUAUUAGAAUGUAAUUGAACUGGUGUCAGUGGGUGGACAUGUUCUAUAUUAGGAUCUAUUGAGAAUCUGUUGACGUGCAAUUAGUAAUCACUAUCUGUAAUAGCAAGUGGUUGAAAUUAAUACGGCUUCGAUCACUGGGAUUAAUGCUGAUUAGAAAUUGUUUGCGGAAAUUGUUGUUGUCGUUGGACGAUGUUAAUUUAGGUUACGUGUUUGGGAGAAUUAGAGAACGCUUUGUAAGUGCGAAACUCGUAACCUGAAACCAAGUCAACUCAUGGUCAGAAUAAAGACCAUAGAGAUGGAGAAAGAUAAAAAGAAAACACGUACAGCUUGAUGGCCGAAAUUUCGACACGAAACAAAUCGAGGAUCGUUCGACGUGUAUCUGGUUAAUCGUCCGAGGAUUAAACGUCCGUCGCGGUGUCGUUAUGAAUAUUCAUAGAGUGGUCUUUUGUCGGUAAGCAAGAUUUGGAAAAGCAAGGUAGUCGGCGUCGUUCAAAGAGAUAUAUCGAGCCACGAGUUUACCUAGACACCGGUUUCUAGACGAACACUGCUUCUGCCCUGCCCCACCACGACAAGAUUUGUGCAUUAGGCAGAGGUAAACGCGAUUUUGGGCAACAUUUGACCGCUUUUUUACCGGCCAUGCCAUCCAACCGUCGCAGGCUGCGACAGAUUGCCAAAGACUUUAUGUAAUUGGAAUUUAAUUAUAGUAGCAUAGUAACAUGCAUUUGAUUUUUUGUAUUUGAUCUUAAUUUCUUAGAUUAUAUCACAUUGAUGUUGAUACAUUAAUCUAUAAAUUAGACCAGUUCUAAAGCAUACAGUUUUAAUCCACUUGUUCAAAAUUUAUUUUCUUUCACUACAGUAUAGUAAAGUAGAAAAUGCAAAUGCAAAACCUUUUCUCUUAAAAUCUAAACUAUACAAAAGCAAAUUACUUGCACAUUAAAUUAAUUACACAGUGUAAAGUUUAGCUUGCAAAUGCUUUCAACUUAUAAAAUAGAAACUACUCAAAAAUACGUCACUUAAAAAUUAAAUUGGGUACAUAGCAUAACAACUAAACUCACAUCUCUCAGUUCUGUAAACCUAACACGCAAGAUGCUUUUUGUCAUAAAUGUACCGGUGCAGGUGCUCUUCUUGGAAUAAAGGUUAAAGACCCUUGGUAUGGGGAGUUAAUUUUAGUAUGCAGGUAUUAUUUAGAAUUUUAUUACUUUUUGAGAUUAUAGCGUAAAUUCUGUACCGUUGAAUGCUGUGAGCACUUUAAUACUCGUGUAUUGACAUUUUUUUCAUGUUGAUGUGGUUAUGUUAAAGUAUCCCUAAUAAAAUGUUACUUUUCUUGUUUUUAGUGAAUUCUUGUGCUCGGUGUUGGUUUUUAAUGAACGUAGAAUUAAAUGGUACAAGGAGAAAGUCGAAGCAAAUGGUCGGAUAAGGUUUGACGUUGUUGGUUGGAAUUUUUAAAUGAGACACGCAAAUUUCUGAUUCCUGUUAAAGGGAAUUUUUCUUUUUGGAGGAACAAUGAAAUAAUUUAAAUAAUUUGGUCAUUUAUUAAAAUGGACGUAUUUCGUGAUUAUUAAAAAUCUGAGUAUUCGUUAAAAUUGUAGAAUAUCUUCACAUGGUAGAAAUUUAAACGUGCUCGUUUCAAAAUUUCAGCUAAAUAUUUGCUCAAAAUUUCAUGGUGUUUAAUAUUUUCUCAUAAGAAAUAUAUUUAUUUGAAAAACUAAAUCUUCCAAAACAUCUUCAUUUCUAAAAGCAUUACCAUGCAUCACGUUACACUUCUCUUAAAAUCAUGCUACAUUUCCAAGCAAUAAUUCUUGAACUAAAACAUAAUGUACGAAUUAUUCUUGGCCUAAACGCUCUGAAUAAUGUUUCUACUCGGUAUCUCAAACAAAUCUUCCACUAAAUUUGUUUGAAAUAACUGAAAUACCAUCUCGUAGACGUAACUUUCGCAAACAUUUGGAAUAUUCGGCUGUUUCAAACUAAUUUACAACGGCAGAAACAGAGUUUCACGGAGAUCCAAGGCUCGAUCCAAGAUCAGAGAAUUCGCGACUUCAUUUACCGACUGCGAGGCGUCUCGAAAGGAGGUCGUGUAGGGUUCACUGAAGACCCUGACUGUUCCAGAGCUCGAGUAUUAAAUAUUGCAGGCGCGGCAAACGAAAGCUACAACUCGACCGCUGCAUUCCGGGAGUUCUUUAGAAUCGUGCGAAUUCACCGGUGCGCUCGCGCCAUUUUCCACCGACGCUCAAUUUUCCCCUUCGCGAUCCCGGAUCAUUUUUUUAUCCCUCUACAUCACCGUAGAACUUGAAACACAUGUAUUCACAUGUGUGUUUACACCUUUCUAAAUUUUAUUUCAAUUUAUUUCUUCUAUCUAUAUUCUUCUAAUCUAUAUCUCUUUACAUUUUGUUUUCGUAUCUUUUGAUGCGUGUGUUUAUAUCUUUCCAUAUUUUGUUUUAAGCGAGUAUUGUGUUAUACAGGGUGGUUGGUAACUGGUGGUUGGUACAAACGGAAAGGGGGUGAUUCUAGGCGAAAAAAGAAGUCGAAAAUAUAGAAUAAAAAUUUUUUUUAUUUUUUUCUUUUAAUUUUUCCAUCGAGACAACGAUCUACAGUGAGAUCCGUUGUAACGAGACGCGAUAAAGUGCACGCGUACCGAGCGAAAAUUCAAAGUCGAUUUUCUCGAAAACAAAGCCUCGAACGAAAAAUUUGUAUUCUAUAUUUUCGACUUCUUUUUUCGCGUAGAAUCACCCCCUUUCCGCUUGUACCACCAGUUACCAACCACCCUGUAUAUUAUUGUGUUAUAUGUUAUGUUACGUUAUAUAUAUUAUAUUUGUUUUCAAACGCAAUUAAACGUUAUUAUAUUAUGUUGUAUUAUUAUUAUGUAUACUACAUUUGUGUCUAAUGUAAGCUAUAAGAAACAGUCGUGAAGAAAUGCUAGAAUAAUUAUUUUUAAAAUAAGAAAAUGUAUAUUAAGGAAACUAAUCCGGUAUGCUAAGGAAGCUUUUUCCAAUAAACGUAAGAUCUGAUAUACAAUAAAUUAUUGU
Long non-coding RNA from Bombus huntii, 3245 nucleotides. RefSeq lists it as uncharacterized. Lineage: Eukaryota; Metazoa; Arthropoda; Insecta; Hymenoptera; Apidae. The transcript is spliced from 3 exons. The record is from RefSeq and is a predicted model, not a curated record.